GUCGAAGCUGAGAAUCUAAGCGCCGGUAAACGGCGGUGGUAACUAUAACCAUCCUAAGGUAGCGAAAUUCCUUGUCGGGUAAGUUCCGACCUGCACGAAUGGCGUAACGACUUCCCCGCUGUCUCAACCACAGGCCCGGCGAAAUUGCACUACGAGUAAAGAUGCUCGUUUCGCGCAGCAGGACGGAAAGACCCCGGGACCUUCACUAUAGCUUGGCAUUGGCGCCUGAAGCGUCUUGUGUAGGAUAGGUGGGAGACUGUGAAGCGGCACGCCAGUGUCGGUGGAGUCAUUGGUGAAAUACCACUCUGGUCGUUUUGAGCGUCUAACCCGCACCCGUGUAUCCGGGUGGGGGACAGUGCCUGGUGGGUAGUUUAACUGGGGCGGUUGCCUCCCAAAGAGUAACGGAGGCGCCCAAAGGUUCCCUCAGCCUGGUUGGCAAUCAGGUGGCGAGUGCAAGGGCACAAGGGAGCUUGACUGUGAGACAGACAUGUCGAGCAGGUGCGAAAGCAGGGCCUAGUGAUCCGGCACCUACGUGUGGAAGUGGUGUCGCUCAACGGCUAAAAGGUACCCCGGGGAUAACAGGCUGAUCUUCCCCAAGAGUCCAUAUCGACGGGAUGGUUUGGCACCUCGAUGUCGGCUCGUCGCAUCCUGGGGCUGGAGUAGGUCCCAAGGGUUGGGCUGUUCGCCCAUUAAAGCGGCACGCGAGCUGGGUUUAGAACGUCGCGAGACAGUUCGGUCCCUAUCCGCUGCGCGCGUAGGAGAAUUGAGAGGAUCUGUCCCUAGUACGAGAGGACCGGGACGGACGGACCUCUGGUGUGCCAGUUGUCCCGCCAGGGGCACGGCUGGUUGGCUACGUUCGGUAGGGAUAACCGCUGAAAGCAUCUAAGCGGGAAGCCUGCCUCAAGAUGAGUUCUCCCUCC
RNAcentral lists this ribosomal RNA (920 nucleotides) under Actinomadura hibisca NBRC 15177. RNAcentral describes it as "bacterial LSU rRNA". It matches the Rfam family "Bacterial large subunit ribosomal RNA", at positions 1898 to 2818 of the family's 2925-position model. The record is from RNAcentral. Lineage: Bacteria; Bacillati; Actinomycetota; Actinomycetes; Streptosporangiales; Thermomonosporaceae.